AGUCACUGACAUUAGAUACCCCCGUAGUCCCAGCCGUAAACAAUGUGCGUUAGGUGUGUCGGUAACCACGUGUUACUGAUGCGCCGAAGAGAAAUCGUGAAACGCACCACCUGGGAAGUACGGUCGCAAGGCUGAAACUUAAGGAAUUGGCGGGGGAGCACCACAACAGGUGGAGCCUGCGGUUUAAUUGGAUUCAACGCCGGACAUCUCACCGGAUAAGACAGCUGAAUGAUUGUCAAUCUGAAGGUUUUACAUGACUAGCUG
This 264-nucleotide ribosomal RNA is filed under the name uncultured archaeon. RNAcentral's name for it is "partial 16S ribosomal RNA". It matches the Rfam family "Archaeal small subunit ribosomal RNA", at positions 718 to 982 of the family's 1478-position model. The record is from RNAcentral.